GUAGCCAAGGCAACAGGUUGCUUCUGCCGUCCGCACUGAGCGCCUUUCGCAGGACUUGGGGUUACUGUAUUUCUGGUACCCCGGUACCCCCACGUGAGCAAGCCCACAGCAACACACAUUUACACACACCCUUCAGCACCCCCUCUCAGCACCGCGACCAUGGACGAUGACUAUGAAGCGUACCACAGUCUGUUCUUGUCGCUGCUCGGACUCUGCCCGUCUAAGACUUCCUUCAAUGAAAAUGCCAACAGUGUCUCCGUCUUUGAUCCUGAACUGGUCACUGGCCACUGCUUCAAGCAGUUCAAGCAGAAGGACCUCCGCCUGCCUCAGAGCCGCCGGCGAAUCAUCGUGGUGCCUCGCAAGGAGGAUCAGAUACCCAUUAAUCCUGCACCCCAACCUCAGGCCCCUCCAAAGCCCAUCCCCAGCUUCAAAGUCCAAGAAGCUAGAGAUAUCCAAGAGCAGCCAGAGGACAGGAAGACCUGGCUGAGCCGGAGGGCAAAGCUGCGGCAGGAGCUGGAGUCCUUUGGCGAUGUAAAGAGGUGGCUGGAGAACAAGCCUAGCAUCACGCCUUCGGAGGCCAAGGUCUUACACAUGAUCCUCAAGGAGCACAGUGGAUCCCUGCCAGAUGCCUCCCUGGCGACUACCAGGACCACCAGGAAAGCCCCCUGGCUCUCCCACCUGCCGGUGCCCCAGCUCCAGCUGCCCAAGCCCCCUGCCCUGUCGGCCAUGUACUCCUACCUGCACCGUCGCAAGAUGAAGAUCCUGGAGAUACUUCACAAGGUGGGCCAGGACAAGAACCAGAGAAUCACCAGGGAGGAGUUCAUCAUGGCUGUCAAGGCAGCCGGAGUCCCUCUGAAGAACCAGGAAGUGGAGGAUGUGGUGAUCUAUCUCAGCUCUCUUGGGAAGCACAACACCAUCACCAUGGAUAUCCUGGCCAAAACCUAUAAGCAGUGGUCUAUGGCUCGGCGAAGGAGCAGCCUGGCCACUGCCAGGGAGCGUCAUAUCUUGGCCAAGCACAAAGGUUCCCUGAAGAGUCUGCUCAAGAAGCAGGAGGUAGAUUCAGCCCCACAGCUUCCCAAGGUGGACCUGCUGACGGUGCCUGCAGUCGACACGCAGAUGGAGGCGCGGCCCAUGACCCUGGAGGAGAUGGAGGAAGUGGGCAAGCGCUACCGCGAGCAGCAGCGACAGCUCAAGCUCACGAUCCCCUCCAUCCAAUACACGGAGCAGUGCCGCAUGGUGCGCUGUGGGAAUCAGCACUUUGACGAGCACUGCCUCCCAUCCACCAUCCACGGGGACAUGAAGGAGCUCAUCGACUCAACCCGCAGGCACACCUUUCUGGUCUACCUGCAAUGCUGGAAGCUCUGUGAGUCCUAUGGCAUCCCGCUGACGGAGGACAUCCUCAUGAAAGCCUUGCUGUACCCAGGAGACAAGAUCAUUUUCCAGAAGGACGAGGUGCGCCCUAUCCGGCAGCCGGGAGGCUACUACUCUGACUGGAAGGUCUUUUCUCCAAAUGUGGCUCUGCUCCAGUCCCAGGGCGCUGGCGAGUCUAAGACUGACAAGCUGAGUUUCGGACCCCCUUUCUCCCUGCCCUGGCCUCCUGCCCCGUUGCCGUCCCUUCAGUGUGGGGACUGGAGGCUGCCAUACCUGGGGCUCCAUGCCGUGCCCAUGUACACGUCCUAGGGCAGCAUCCCCCACCUGACUGCUCACUGCAGACUGGCCAGUCCCGAGUCACCUUUGGUGCAUGUCUCAGGAUCACAGCCUGCUGGCCUCAGCUCCCACACAGCUACCCUCCUGACCCCAGUCCUGUACAAUCACAAGGUUUCUGGAAAAGAUGAAAAGGAGGGCCUUCUUAGAGAACAGGGCUGGAGUAAGGGCCUUUGCAAAUCCCCAACUAAAGGUCAGGGCCCUGCAGAGAACAGCGGGGCAGCCCUUUCUCGGCCCUGCCACCUUGCCUCUGACACCCCCCUUCUCUGGCAAGAGGUGGGCUUGCAGCUCCUGGGAGGAGAAAGGAACAUUUCCCUGGGCCCUGUCCCUAGCCCUUCCGGAGACCAGCCUGAGUCCUCUUUAAGAAAAUGGCCUCCUUUGGUACUCCAAAGCCUAAGCUUCCCAGAUUUGAGUCAAGCAGCAGGUGACAACCCGUGGGCAGCAUCAGUGGGUGACUGCAGAGGACCAAGGCAGCAUCCCUGCAGAGGGAGGGGCCCAGCAAGGGAGGAGGAGAGCCCAGCUGGCCGGAUACCAUGAGGUGGAGGGGCCUGGACCUGCCCCUGCCUCUAGACCCCUGCCAGCUGCCCUGUGUGUGGCCAGAAUGCCUGCGGUGGGAUGCAGCAGGGCCUUGUAGAGAUCAGACAGCCCUCUGGUUAAAUGGAUAAAGCACUUCCCUGAGCCUCAGCAUCUUCAUGUGUAAAGGGGCCUAGCCGCUCCUACUAUAGACUAAGAGGAUCAGAUGACAAAGAGUGUCAAGAUCUUAGCAGUGACAGCACUCCAUCAAUGAUAGUCGUUAUUUUACCUUGCUCUGGUCCGGGUAGGCCCGACGCUGUUCUCAAGGGCAGGAAUAGGCCCAGGCCUGCAGGUGGGUCCCGGCCACAAAAUUGGCUGUGACUGCCUUCCAGCCCCCAGAUGACCCAGGAAGUGGCUGGCAAUCUAGGAAGGAGAUUUUGGUCCAUGCUUAGGUAAGUUAUAGCUAAUAAAGGAUAAAGAGAGGUCUCCUAGGUCAAGGAGAGACCGCCACUAUUUAGGGUUAUGGAAAAUUCUGAGGCCAGAUGGAGGCUCGAUGGAAGAGUGUGGUGAACGAUUAGUGAUGUCUGUGAGGCUCGGGGUUGUGAGGUGGUGUGGGAGGGGGUUAGAUUUCACCGCCUUUGUCCUCAGGGCUGGGUUAAGCUCUGGAGUGGGGAGUGGGAGCCAGGGACCCCAAAAGGAUUCAGCAGUGACUGAGGGAGCCUCUCUCAUGACUACCCUGAGAGCUCUCUGUUGUCAGCCAUGAGAGAACCGAGGAUGAGAAGGGAAAGUCACUUGCCCAGGUCACCCGGCCAGAUUCUGAGGCUAGGUCCGACUGCCCCAAGCCCACUGUGUUCCCUGGAGCCAGCACGGAGUCAGGGCCCACCCCAGGUGAAAGACGUUUUUCUUUCAGUGCUCUGCUUUGAGACUUAGAAAUGGGCCCACCCCUGCGGCCCCUGACCCACUCCCUAAAGCCCCAGUGGCCUGGAUUUCCACUCUCCUCACAAAAUGCCUCUCUCUCCUCCACUAGGAAAACGCCAAAGAAAAUCAAGAAAAUGCAGUUUAAGGAGUUUGAGGAAUUUACCAGGAAGCUGAAGGCGAAGAGGGCCAGUGGUCUGCAGCAAACGCACCCCAACUCCUUCUGGCCGGGUCACCUUCUGGAUAAGCUGCAGCUCUACUUGCCCACUGUGGCCACAGACCGCAGCCUGGCGCUCUUCAGCUGUGUUCAACACCAGCCCCAUGUCUACCCAGCCACCUACCACCCCGACCACUGGUGGCCCCUUCGGAACAAGAACUACAUGACCCGCGCCUAUUUUGAUGCCGCCAAGGUGUACUACAUCAACUAGAAUGGGCCGGAUGUUGCUGGACCUGGCCUUCCUGGGCCAGGGGCCAGUGCAGACAGCGGCCCAGAGCCCAGACACAGGAGGAGUGUCAAACAGUCAGACGAAAGAAAUCCUUUCAGUGGGAUGCCACAGGCCAGUUCCCUCUGGAUUCAGUGUCCAGUGUCUCAGACGGUAGAUGUGUCCAAGGAAGGACGUGCAGUUUUUGACUAUUUCCCUCCCCUGAACUUUCCCCUUUCUAAAUAAAGCAGGUUGGAGUUUUUCUCA
This is a non-coding RNA of Saimiri boliviensis boliviensis (Bolivian squirrel monkey), 3821 nucleotides long. NCBI's taxonomy places the organism in Eukaryota, Metazoa, Chordata, Mammalia, Primates, Cebidae. The record is from RefSeq and is a predicted model, not a curated record.